AUUGAACGCUGGCGGCAGGCCUAACACAUGCAAGUCGAGCGGAUGAAGGGAGCUUGCUCCUGGAUUCAGCGGCGGACGGGUGAGUAAUGCCUAGGAAUCUGCCUGGUAGUGGGGGAUAACGUCCGGAAACGGGCGCUAAUACCGCAUACGUCCUGAGUGAGAAAGUGGGGGAUCUUCGGACCUCACGCUAUCAGAUGAGCCUAGGUCGGAUUAGCUAGUUGGUGGGGUAAAGGCCUACCAAGGCGACGAUCCGUAACUGGUCUGAGAGGAUGAUCAGUCACACUGGAACUGAGACACGGUCCAGACUCCUACGGGAGGCAGCAGUGGGGAAUAUUGGACGAUGGGCGAAAGCCUGAUCCAGCCAUGCCGCGUGUGUGAAGAAGGUCUUCGGAUUGUAAAGCACUUUAAGUUGGGAGGAAGGGCAGUAAGUUAAUACCUUGCUGUUUUGACGUUACCAACAGAAUAAGCACCGGCUAACUUCGUG
Molecule: ribosomal RNA, 484 nt
Filed under: uncultured bacterium
Lineage: Bacteria
Description: partial 16S ribosomal RNA
Rfam family: Bacterial small subunit ribosomal RNA
Source: RNAcentral